CUUCUUGAUUAGUGAUGGGAAGUAGGACCUGUUCACUGAUUUUAUUGAAGAACCGCGGUAUAUUGACCGUGCAAAGGUAGCAUAAUCAUUAGUUUCUUAAUUGGAAACUGGAAUGAAUGGUUUGACGAAAUAAUAUGUGUCUUAGUUUUAAAGAGAAUUGAAGUUUACUUUUGAGUAAAAAGGCUUAAAUUUUGUUGUGGGACGAUAAGACCCUAUAGAUCUUUAUAAUUUUAUUUUUAUUGUAAAUUUAAUUUUUUUGAAUUGAUAUAAAAUUAUUUCGUUGGGGUGACGAAAGGAUUUCAAUCGAACUCCUUUUUAAUUAAACAUUAUUAAUUGGUUUUAGGGGAUCCUAAAAGUUGGAUUGUAAGAUUAAGAUACCUUAGGGAUAACAGCGUUAUUUUAUUUGAGAGUUCAUAUCGACAAUAAAGAUUGCGACCUCGAUGUUGGAUUAAGUUUAUUUUGUGGGGGAGUAUUUACAUGGAGUAGGUCUGUUC
RNAcentral lists this ribosomal RNA (494 nucleotides) under Singapuriola separata. RNAcentral describes it as "partial 16S ribosomal RNA". It matches the Rfam family "Bacterial large subunit ribosomal RNA", at positions 1832 to 2582 of the family's 2925-position model. Lineage: Eukaryota; Metazoa; Arthropoda; Insecta; Orthoptera; Pteroplistidae. The record is from RNAcentral.